This 330-nucleotide ribosomal RNA is filed under the name uncultured Bacillota bacterium. RNAcentral describes it as "bacterial SSU rRNA". It matches the Rfam family "Bacterial small subunit ribosomal RNA", at positions 28 to 351 of the family's 1533-position model. Lineage: Bacteria; Bacillati; Bacillota. The record is from RNAcentral.
GACGAACGCUGGCGGCGUGCUUGAUACAUGCAAGUCGAACGGACUUCACAUGAAAGCUUGCUGGAUUGUGAAGUUAGUGGCGGACGGGUGAGUAACGCGUGGGUAAUCUGCCCUCAGGUCCGGGACAACAGUUCGAAAGGGCUGCUAAGACCGGAUGACCUUGCGAAGUGGCAUCAUUUUGCAAGCAAAGGCUACGCCUGAGGAUGAGCCCGCGUCCCAUUAGCUAGUUGGCGGGGUAACAGCCCACCAAGGCGACGAUGGGUAGCCGGACUGAGAGGUUGGCCGGCCACACUGGGACUGAGACACGGCCCAGACUCCUACGGGAGGCUG